RNAcentral lists this unclassified non-coding RNA (150 nucleotides) under uncultured Ascomycota. RNAcentral describes it as "sequence contains ITS1". The record is from RNAcentral. Lineage: Eukaryota; Fungi; Ascomycota.
CCGAGAGAGGGCGCCUCGCGCGCCCGACCUCCCAACCCUUUGUUUGACCAAAAACCACGUUGCCUCGGGGGGACGACCCGGUCGCCCCCGGCGGACCAACCUUCAAAACUCUGCAUCUUUGCGUCGGAGUCAUAAGUUUAAAUCGUUUUA